UGGGGAAUAUUGCACAAUGGGCGCAAGCCUGAUGCAGCCAUGCCGCGUGUAUGAAGAAGGCCUUCGGGUUGUAAAGUACUUUCAGCGGGGAGGAAGGGAGUAAAGUUAAUACCUUUGCUCAUUGACGUUACCCGCAGAAGAAGCACCGGCUAACUCCGUGCCAGCAGCCGCGGUAAUACGGAGGGUGCAAGCGUUAAUCGGAAUUACUGGGCGUAAAGCGCACGCAGGCGGUUGAUUGAGUCAGAUGUGAAAUCCCCGGGCUUAACCCGGGAAUUGCAUCUGAUACUGGUCAGCUAGAGUCUUGUAGAGGGGGGUAGAAUUCCAUGUGGAGCGGUGAAAUGCGUAGAGAUGUGGAGGAAUACCGGUGGCGAAGGCGGCCCCCUGGACAAAGACUGACGCUCAGGUGCGAAAGCGUGGGGAGCAAACAGG
This 429-nucleotide ribosomal RNA is filed under the name Chloroflexota bacterium. Its description in RNAcentral is "Chloroflexi bacterium partial 16S ribosomal RNA". It matches the Rfam family "Bacterial small subunit ribosomal RNA", at positions 355 to 776 of the family's 1533-position model. The record is from RNAcentral. Lineage: Bacteria; Bacillati; Chloroflexota.